GUCCACGCUGUAAACGAUGAUAACUAGGUGUUGGAGGUAUUGACCCCUUCAGCGCCGCAGCUAACGCAUUAAGUUAUCCGCCUGGGGAGUACGGUCGCAAGACUAAAACUCAAAGGAAUUGACGGGGGCCCGCACAAGCGGUGGAGUAUGUGGUUUAAUUCGACGCAACGCGAAGAACCUUACCUGGGUUAGAAAUCAACCGGAAGGUCUGUAGAGAUAUGGAUCGUCCCCGCAAGGGGACCGGUUGACAGGUGCUGCAUGGCUGUCGU
Molecule: ribosomal RNA, 269 nt
Filed under: uncultured bacterium
Lineage: Bacteria
Description: partial 16S ribosomal RNA
Rfam family: Bacterial small subunit ribosomal RNA
Source: RNAcentral